RNAcentral lists this ribosomal RNA (843 nucleotides) under Emberiza spodocephala spodocephala. RNAcentral's name for it is "Schoeniclus spodocephala spodocephala partial 16S ribosomal RNA". The stretch from base 218 to 843 matches the Rfam family "Bacterial large subunit ribosomal RNA", at positions 569 to 1263 of the family's 2925-position model. Lineage: Eukaryota; Metazoa; Chordata; Aves; Passeriformes; Fringillidae. The record is from RNAcentral.
UUCAGCUUACACCUGAAAAAUGUCUGCUAACGCCAGAUCGUCUUGAUGCCAAACUCUAGCCCAAUCGACAUGACCUGGAAUAACAAAGCCACUUCCCUCCACCCAACUAAAGCAUUUACCAGUCCUAGUAUAGGCGAUAGAAAAGACACCAUUGGCGCGAUAGAGAUCACGUACCGUAAGGGAAAGAUGAAAUAGCAAUGAAAACUAAGCUAUAAACAGCAAAGAUCAACCCUUGUACCUUUUGCAUCAUGGUCUAGCAAGAAAAACCAAGCAAAAUGAAUUUAAGUUUGCCACCCCGAAAMCCAAGCGAGCUACUUACGAGCAGCUAUCAUUGAGCGAACCCGUCUCUGUGGCAAAAGAGUGGGAUGACUCGUUAGUAGAGGUGAAAARCCAACCGAGCUGGGUGAUAGCUGGUUGCCUGUGAAACGAAUCUUAGUUCACUCUUAAUUCUUCUCCAAGGAACCCCACAAACCCUAAUGAAGCGAAUUAAGGGCUAUUUAAAGGAGGUACAGCUCCUUUAAAAAAGAAUACAAUCUCUUCGAGCGGAUAAAUACUAACCCCUUGCAACUGAAUUGUGGGCCCUCAAGCAGCCAUCAACAAAGAGUGCGUUAAAGCUCUACACCCCAAAAAUACAAGAACCCUAUGACUCCCUCCUCAUUAACAGGCCAACCUAUAUUUAAAUAGGAGAAUUAAUGCUAGAAUGAGUAACCAGGGUCCUCCCUCUACGACGCAAGCUUACAUCCACACAUUAUUAACAAACACUCAAUAUACGACAAAUCAAACAAGCACAGUAUUAAGCAUCUUGUUAACCCGACAGAGGAGCGUCCACUAAGAAAGAUUAAA